This is a long non-coding RNA of Coffea arabica (coffee), 569 nucleotides long. RefSeq lists it as uncharacterized. Lineage: Eukaryota; Viridiplantae; Streptophyta; Magnoliopsida; Gentianales; Rubiaceae. The record is from RefSeq and is a predicted model, not a curated record.
UACAAUUAAUCCAAGGCCUGACAAAUCCCCAAACAGCGGCAAUUCAACUAUUGGGUUAGGGUUCGCUCUUUUCUUGCAAUUGGUCGUCACGCUUUUGGAGGAUCCGCUAAAUCGAACCCUAGCCCUAGAAUUCAACCAUGUCUUCCAAGCAAGGUGGAAAAGCAAAGCCUUUGAAGCAGCCAAAGGCUGAAAAGAAAGAAUAGGGCGAGGAAGACAAGGCUUAUCUGCAAAAGAAGAAAGAGGAGGAAAAGGCACUGAAGGAGCUCAAGGCAAAGGCGCAAAAAGGAGCUUUGGGAGGUUCUGGGCUCAAAAAAAGUAGUGGGAAGAAGUGAGGAUUUAGAAACCUAAUGCUAAACCUAAGCAUCCUUGUGUUAGAUUAGUUUAUCAUCAAGCAUUUGUUCUAUGGCUGGGAAUGAUUGUUAUUUUUUUAUGCCAACUUUCUUCCAUGUAAAAUUCAGUGAAAUGUGCGAGACAUUUGCACCCUUCGGAAUACAUAAGCCAUGUUAGAAUUUGCUUCUGUUUCCUUUAACAUGGCUUUAAUGUUUAAUUUUAUGUUGUUUCUGGUUUUA